GACGAACGCUGGCGGCGUGCCUAAUACAUGCAAGUAGGACGCAGUUGCGAACGGGUGAGUAACGCGUAGGUAACUACCUAUUAGAGGGGGAUAACUAUUGGAAACGAUAGCUAAUACCGCAUACUAGUAGAUGGACCUGCGUUGUAUUAGCUAGUAGGUAGGGUAAUGGCCUACCUAGGCAACGAUACAUUACCGACCUGGGGGGGGGAACGGGCACACUGGGAAUGAGACCAGGCCCAGACUCCUACGGGAGGCAGCAGUAGGGAAACUUCGGCAAUGGGGGGAACCCUGACCGAGCAACACCGCGGGAGUGAAGAAAGUUUUCGGAUCGUAAAGCUCUGUUGUUAAGGAAGCGGUACUUAACCAGAAAGGGACGGCUAACUACGUGCCAGCAGCCGCGGUAAUAC
Molecule: ribosomal RNA, 407 nt
Filed under: uncultured bacterium
Lineage: Bacteria
Description: partial 16S ribosomal RNA
Rfam family: Bacterial small subunit ribosomal RNA
Source: RNAcentral